GUCUCUGUAGCUCAGCUGGAGAGAGCAACACCCUCCUAAGGUGGAGGUCGGAGGUUCAAAUCCUCUCAGGGACG
This 74-nucleotide transfer RNA is filed under the name Clostridiales bacterium. RNAcentral's name for it is "tRNA-Arg". It matches the Rfam family "tRNA". From Rfam's summary of the family: Transfer RNA (tRNA) molecules are approximately 80 nucleotides in length. Lineage: Bacteria; Bacillati; Bacillota; Clostridia; Eubacteriales. The record is from RNAcentral.